AUGCUGUUUAUUUUCCUUUCUCAGCAGCCAUACUGUCUCAAAAGCAACAUAGGCCCAGAAAUUCACUUUAUUAAUUUUACGAGUUGAAAAGGGCAUCUGAUAUAUAUGGCCCUGUGACUUCCCCCCAAAAAACUGAAAUACUGGUACAUGGGGGAAACGUGUUGGUAAGACAAUGCUAAUUAAAAAUAAUGAGGCUGUAUUACACUAACACACAUUGGGAUUAUGAAUUGUC
Pelobates cultripes (western spadefoot toad) is the source of this 232-nucleotide non-coding RNA. NCBI's taxonomy places the organism in Eukaryota, Metazoa, Chordata, Amphibia, Anura, Pelobatidae. The record is from the annotation of a GenBank genome assembly.